UGUGCCUACGGGGCGCAGCAGUGGGGAAUAUUGCGCAAUGGGCGAAAGCCUGACGCAGCGCCGCCGCGUGAGGGAUGAAGGUCUUCGGAUCGUAAACCUCUGUCAGCAGGGAAGAACGGUCACUGUGCUAAUCAGCAGUGAAUUGACGGUACCUGCAAAGGAAGCACCGGCUAACUCCGUGCCAGCAGCCGCGGUAAUACGGAGGGUGCGAGCGUUAAUCGGAAUUACUGGGCGUAAUGCGCUCGUAGGCGGUAUGUCAAGUCAAGGGCUAAAUCCCCGCGCCCAACGUGGGAACUGCCUUUGAA
This 305-nucleotide ribosomal RNA is filed under the name uncultured bacterium. Its description in RNAcentral is "bacterial SSU rRNA". It matches the Rfam family "Bacterial small subunit ribosomal RNA", at positions 333 to 631 of the family's 1533-position model. The record is from RNAcentral.